Molecule: ribosomal RNA, 245 nt
Filed under: uncultured bacterium
Lineage: Bacteria
Description: partial small subunit ribosomal RNA
Rfam family: Bacterial small subunit ribosomal RNA
Source: RNAcentral
AGAAUCAACGCUGGCGGCGUGCCUAACACAUGCAAGUCGCACGAGAAAGGGAUUUCGGUCCUGAGUAAAGUGGCGCACGGGUGAGUAACACGUGAAUCAUCUACCUCCGAAUGGGGAAUAACUGAGAGAAAUCUUAGCUAAUACCGCAUAAUACCUACGGGUCAAAGCAGCAAUGCGUUUGGAGAGGAGUUCGCGGUCGAUUAGUUAGUUGGCGGGGUAAUGGCCCACCAAGACGAUGAUCGAUA